This 472-nucleotide ribosomal RNA is filed under the name uncultured bacterium. RNAcentral describes it as "partial 16S ribosomal RNA". It matches the Rfam family "Bacterial small subunit ribosomal RNA", at positions 28 to 507 of the family's 1533-position model. The record is from RNAcentral.
GACGAACGCUGGCGGCGUGCUUAACACAUGCAAGUCGAACGCUGAAGCUUGGUGCUUGCACUGGGUGGAUGAGUGGCGAACGGGUGAGUAAUACGUGAGUAACCUGCCCUUGACUCUGGGAUAAGCCUGGGAAACUGGGUCUAAUACUGGAUACGACAUGUCACCACAUGGUGGUGUGUGGAAAGGGUUUUACUGGUUUUGGAUGGGCUCACGGCCUAUCAGCUUGUUGGUGGGGUAAUGGCUCACCAAGGCGACGACGGGUAGCCGGCCUGAGAGGGUGACCGGCCACACUGGGACUGAGACACGGCCCAGACUCCUACGGGAGGCAGCAGUGGGGAAUAUUGCACAAUGGGCGGAAGCCUGAUGCAGCGACGCCGCGUGAGGGAUGACGGCCUUCGGGUUGUAAACCUCUUUCAGCACGGAAGAAGCGAAAGUGACGGUACGUGCAGAAGAAGCGCCGGCUAACUACGUG